Molecule: long non-coding RNA, 588 nt
Filed under: Brassica napus (rape)
Lineage: Eukaryota; Viridiplantae; Streptophyta; Magnoliopsida; Brassicales; Brassicaceae
Description: long non-coding RNA (BNAP_LNC002865)
Source: RNAcentral
GAAGGAUGGGGGGGUUGAGGACGCCACAAGACUCUAUGGAAAGGAGCCUUGAUAAGUCAAGGUGCUUUGGAGUUGCUUCACACAAGCUCAAAAGACUUAGAACAAUAGUUUUAAGAAAACUAGAAAACUGAAUAAUUCUUAUUACUUUCAAAAAUGGUGAUUUACAAUGAAACAAAGACUAGAGCUUUAUAGGCUCGACCAAGGACUCUCUAACAGUCAUAAAAUGACAUAAGGAAAGAAAUAAAAUCGAAAUAAUAAAUUUGGAAGCAAAGGAAUUGAUGGCUCCUUGAAAACUAGCCGUUGGAGGCUUAAUGAUGAGAAUCUUGGCCAAAUGAAUGUAGAUGGUAUCCUCCUUGUAUCUGGACGGUUUGAGGGGUUAAGUGAGCUUCCUGGGAAUCUUCUUAAUGGUCUGUAAGGUGCUGAUCUCGUCCUUGCCUUGGUAGAAAAAGAGCUGUUGGAGUUUGAAUGCAAGAGACUCCAAAUAAGGCAGUUUGGUGAUAAUGGGGAUCUUCUUAUUCCUAUGUGGGCUGGUGCAUGGAAUGAAGUUGUAGAACUCUUCUGGCUCGUGUAUAAUGUCUCCUGGAUGUC